RNAcentral lists this small RNA (71 nucleotides) under Klebsiella pneumoniae. RNAcentral's name for it is "partial RtT sRNA". It matches the Rfam family "RtT RNA", at positions 1 to 70 of the family's 130-position model. Rfam says of the family: This family represents a bacterial cis-regulatory element known as RtT RNA. The exact function of RtT is unknown although it is thought that it may be involved in changing the cellular response in relation to amino acid starvation. The record is from RNAcentral. Lineage: Bacteria; Pseudomonadati; Pseudomonadota; Gammaproteobacteria; Enterobacterales; Enterobacteriaceae.
UGUUUGCACUUAGCGGGAAGGGUAAGAACCUUCGACUAAGGUUCGACUCGAGCGCCAGCGAGAGAACGUUG